RNA transcript from Populus euphratica (Euphrates poplar), 1718 nucleotides. RefSeq lists it as uncharacterized. The transcript has 13 exons. Lineage: Eukaryota; Viridiplantae; Streptophyta; Magnoliopsida; Malpighiales; Salicaceae. The record is from RefSeq and is a predicted model, not a curated record.
GAUUUUCCGUAUUUUUAGCUUUGCAAAAUUCAUAGCUUCUCUCCUCCUCCUCUCAGAGAGGAGAGAGAAGAAGAACAAGAGAAAAUAUAAAGAGCGUUUUUUCAAAUUAAAAAAAAAAACUUUAAAUUCCCUCUCCCUCUCCCUCUAGGGUUUCUACUCUCAAAAAUCCAAUCUUCUCUUCUUCUUUAGCCAAUCUCGAUUACCCGUACUUGCAUUAUCGAGACACAUUAAAGAAAAAUCGCCGAUUUCUCUUCUUUUAAAGGUGAUCUCAUCGGUUAAUUGUUUGUACAGAUUCGAGUGUAUAGAUACAGAAAUUGCAUUUGAGGAUCAAUGGUAUGCUCAAUUGGAAAUGGGAGAAUGGCAGUCAUGGCUCGGCUUCUGGCCGCGGGAAGUUUAUUGCAAAAUAAUGCAGAGGAGGAUAGCCAACAGAAAUUAGCUACUCAAUAUAUUUGCAGAGAAUUACACGAGGCAGAAGAACCAAAUUUACUUGAUGAAGAAGAUAUGCGUGUUUUUGGUUUGAUGCCUAUGACUGACCCUUUGGACCUGGUAUGUUGCAAUGCUUGUAAGAAGACAGUGAAGGCUAGCCAAUAUGCAGCCCAUGCAGAGCUUUGUAGGUUCUUAAAUUCUGCAGAAGAAAUGACCUUGGAGCCUGAUGGUGGCACAGGACGCAGGAAACCUCCAAGGAAGGAGAGGAAAAAGUUAAUAACUGCCUAUUCUAACCAAGCCACACCAGUUGUGGAACGAGAAAGUUCUGAAUAUAUAGUUGCAGAUGAUACUGUUGCAUCAGAAUCUCAGUUGGACAGGCCUCCUAGAAUGCCUUCUUCCUUCUCCCUGGAUACAAAAAGAAAUUCUGCUACUGUAGAUGUGGCAUCUAUGAUUGUUGGAAAAGCAGUGAGUCCUGAGAACAGAGACUACUCAGCCUGUGUGACGCCACCUCCAACAAAACGCUAUAAAUUCAUAUCAACUGAGCAUCGACUGCAAUCAGAUGAUCCAGAAACAGCUUCUGGCUUAACAAAAGUUACAAGCACUGUGGAUCCAUCUACUUAUAUUCCUGCUCCCCUUGCUACCAAAGUUUAUUACUCUCAAAGGAACUCUCGUCUACGGUCAGCAGUUGCUUAUCUGUACCAUGCCACAUCUGCUGAGGGACUGAACAUGGUGAAUUCAGAAUUAUCACAGGAAAGCUUAAUGCAACUACUGGCUUCAUCUCAGAAGGGUUCUUUAGAUGCACAAACAAAUGACCUGAUCAAUGAAAAGGCAGGGAGAUCCUUCUGUGCAUGAACCUGAUGAAAUUCGUGCACAAAGUUCAGAGAUGUGCCUGGAUAAUUCAGGAGGAUGUCCACCAUUGACUAACUUCUCAAAUCAGUUUCCUGUUGAUAACAUUCUAAGGCCCCAGACUGCUUCAGUUGGAAUGCUCGGAAGCAAAUAUCUUUCAAAGCCCUAUUCUUUUGCAGGCAACUCAGGUCAAUCUCUUGGAACCAUGCAGCAACCAAACGGAACUGUCCCUGUUUUAUAGGAGCCCAUGUGGGAAUUUUGGCUAGGCGAAUAUUUAUUAAAUACCAAAUGUGAGGUUAGGAUCCAUUUUUGAAAACACAGAAGCAAAUCACCGCAAUUGUUCAUUCUAGCAUUCUGUAUCAUACUUGACAUCUGACUGUUGCUUAUACUACUUGAAUAGAAAUAAAAAAAAUAAAAUCAUCGUAGUCACAGUUACAGACCUAAAA